Molecule: long non-coding RNA, 852 nt
Organism: Helianthus annuus (common sunflower)
Lineage: Eukaryota; Viridiplantae; Streptophyta; Magnoliopsida; Asterales; Asteraceae
Exons: 3
Source: RefSeq, a predicted model, not a curated record
CCUGAGAUUAGACCUGCCACUGAGUUGGGCUUGUUGGGAUAAAUUGUGAGUUAGUGGGCUUCUUUGUUGCUGUUGGGCUGAUUGGAAUAAACAUUAGCAGCCCAUGGAGUUGGACUUUAAGGUCGUUAAAGGAACGUGUCUAGGGUUUGCGGCUCAUGGCAUAUAUAAGUGAACAUCCAGUGAAUGAAGAGUUGGUUCAGAUUUUUAGUCAUCUCUCUCAUAUUUUACGUCUGAAGCAUAUCAAUACAAUCUAGGGUUUUCAUCUUCUUGGUUAUCAUGAAAACCUAAUCUAUCAUGUUCGUUGUCAAAGAUUAUCAGGUUGAUAUGCUUAAUCUAUUCACAUAGUUUCUUUUUGUUUACAACCAGAGAGUUGUACAAAUUUAGAGACGAUUGGAUUGUAUUGUGCAUAAUUAGAUGAUCACAUGUACUAACUUACACGAACGAGUAAUUGAAUGUCAAACGUGAUUCCAUGGCUAUGUGUUAGACUACGUGUAGGAUUUCAUAAAUCAAACUAACUGAAACGGUAAACAUAUCAGGAAGAGGUUGACCACUCCGGAUUACCUUCACACUUAUUUCUGCUGAGCAAACUAAGAUGUUAAUGAUGGCACAAAACAAAACGUCAGCAUUCGGUACACAGCUUAGUCAUUUGAUGAGGGUUAGCUACCUAAGUCAUACAUAAACCAAAAACAGGUACAACUGGGACGGACUAUUGCAAUUGCUGGAAUGGUGUGGUUUGAUAAACUUUAUGUUUUGAAUUAUUUAUUAAACUUGUGGUUUUUUUUUUAAAUUCUUGUUAGGAUUUUAACUUUAUUUCCGCUGCAACUUAAACUAUGUUUUGACAAUUAAAACUUG